This 253-nucleotide ribosomal RNA is filed under the name uncultured bacterium. RNAcentral's name for it is "partial 16S ribosomal RNA". It matches the Rfam family "Bacterial small subunit ribosomal RNA", at positions 524 to 776 of the family's 1533-position model. The record is from RNAcentral.
UACGUAGGUGACAAGCGUUGUUCGGAAUUAUUGGGCGUAAAGGGCGCGUAGGCGGGAUGGCAAGUCGGUCGUGAAAUCCCUCGGCUCAACUGAGGAUCGUCGAUCGAUACUGCCGUUCUUGAGGAUUGCAGAGGAGACUGGAAUUCCCGGUGUAGCGGUGAAAUGCGUAGAUAUCGUAAGGAAGACCAGUGGCGAAGGCGGGUCUCUGGACAGUUCCUGACGCUGAGGCACGAAGGUCAGGGGAGCAAACGGG